Molecule: non-coding RNA, 117 nt
Filed under: Nomascus leucogenys (northern white-cheeked gibbon)
Lineage: Eukaryota; Metazoa; Chordata; Mammalia; Primates; Hylobatidae
Source: Rfam by way of RNAcentral
GCUGGGCAUGGUGACUCAUGCCUGUAAUCCUAGCACUUUGGGAGGCCGAGGCGGGUGGAUCACCUGAGGUCAGGAGUUUGAGACCAGCCUGGCCAACAUGGUGAAAACUCGUCUCUA